Molecule: ribosomal RNA, 497 nt
Filed under: uncultured bacterium
Lineage: Bacteria
Description: partial 16S ribosomal RNA
Rfam family: Bacterial small subunit ribosomal RNA
Source: RNAcentral
GAUGAACGCUGGCGGCGUGCCUAAUACAUGCAAGUCGAGCGACCAGACGAGGAGCUUGCUCCUCUGCCGUUAGCGGCUGACGGGUGAGUAACACGUGGAUAACCUACCUAUAAGACUUGGAUAACUUCGGGAAACCGGAGCUACUACCGGAUAAUAUAUUGAACCGCAUGGUUCAAUAGUGAAAGAGGCUUUUGCUGUCACUUUUAGAUGGAUCCGCGCCGCAUUAGCUAGUUGGUAAGGUAACGGCUUACCAAGGCGACGAUGCGUAGCCGACCUGAGAGGGUGAUCGGCCACACUGGAACUGAGACACGGUCCAGACUCCUACGGGAGGCAGCAGUAGGGAAUCUUCCACAAUGGGCGAAAGCCUGACGGAGCAACGCCGCGUGAGUGAUGAAGGUCUUCGGAUCGUAAAACUCUGUUAUUAGGGAAGAACAAAAGUGUAAUUAACUAUGCACGUCUUGACGGUACCUAAUCAGAAAGCCACGGCUAACUACGUG